CCCAAUCUAGACAGUAGGAGGUGGUGAAGAGAAGUACUGAGUGGUGGCCAUUGGCUAUCAACUUGGAAUGAACGUAAUUUAAGCAAUUCGAUGAGUAACUACUGGAGGGCAAGUCCUGGUGCCAGCAGCCGCGGUAAUUCCAGCUCCAGUGGCGUGAUUUAAAGUUGCUGCGUUUAAAACGCUCGUAGUUGGAUCACGCAGUGGUAUUCAGUUAUCUGGAUUUGUGCAUUGUUGACAAUUUUCUUCUUAGAUUAUUGAAUCUUUGCUACUCCAGGUGUUUAUGCUGAAUGCUACUAUUUGCACACAAGUGUGGUAUUUGGCCUUAAGUGAGUCGAGUAUCAUGUCUUGUGGAGUGUGCCUUGAAUAAAACAGAGUGCUCAAAGCAGGCGUACGCUUGAAUGUUAUAGCAUGGAACGAACAAACGUGUAUUUGCGUAUGGUAUUUAAAGUUGAGGGCAACUUUGGCUUUAGAACUAUACGCAGCACCCGCCUAAAUACGGAUGUUGGUUUUCGUAUCAGGUGAUGAUUAACAGGAGCGGUUGGGGGCAUUGGUAUUUGGCCGCGAGAGGUGAAAUUCUUAGACCGGCCAAGGACUAACAGAUGCGAAGGCGUUUGUCUAGACCGUUUCCAUUAAUCAAGAACGAAAGUGGGAGGUUCGAAGACGAUCAGAUACCGUCCUAGUUCCCACUAUAAACUAUGCCGACCUGGGAUCAGUUUAGUGAUUUACAAGCUCUAGGUUGGUCCCCCUGGGAAACCUCAAGUUUUUCGGUUACGGGGAGAGUAUGGUCGCAAGUCUGAAACUUAAAGGAAUUGACGGAAGGGCACCACCAGGGGUGGAGCCUGCGGCUUAAUUUGACUCAACACGGGGAAACUUACCUGGUCCGGACAUCGAAAGGAUAGACAGACUAAUAGAUCUUACUUGAUGCGGUGAGUGG
This 934-nucleotide ribosomal RNA is filed under the name Myxobolus sp. II NR-2016. RNAcentral describes it as "bacterial SSU rRNA". It matches the Rfam family "Eukaryotic small subunit ribosomal RNA", at positions 444 to 1277 of the family's 1831-position model. The record is from RNAcentral. Lineage: Eukaryota; Metazoa; Cnidaria; Myxozoa; Bivalvulida; Myxobolidae.